RNAcentral lists this long non-coding RNA (796 nucleotides) under Mytilus galloprovincialis (Mediterranean mussel). Lineage: Eukaryota; Metazoa; Mollusca; Bivalvia; Mytilida; Mytilidae. The record is from RNAcentral.
UCCGUUUCAUGUGUUAAAUACGGGAUCCAAGAUGGUUUUUUUUCGCUUGUUAAAAUUGAGCCUAUCAAACGUGUUUAAACUACGUGUUUAACCAACGUGUUUAACCAAUGUUUAACCAACGUGUUUAACCAACCAACCAACCAAUCAAUCAAUCAAUGCAUGUUUCCGUUUCAUGUGUUAAAUACGGGAUCCAAGAUGGUUUUUUUUCGCUUGUUUAAAUUGAGCCUAUCAAACGUGUUUAACCAGCCAACGUGUUUAACCAACAUGUUUAACCAACGUGUUUAACCAACCAACCAACCAACCAAUCAACCAAUCAAUGCAUGUUUCCGUUUCAUGUGUUAAAUACGGGAUCCAAGAUGUUUUUUUUUUCGCUUGUUUAAAUUGAGCCUUUCAAACGUGUUUAACCAGCCAACGUGUUUAACCAACGUGUUCAACCAACAUGUUUAACCAACGUGUUUAACCAACCAACCAACCAAUCAAUCACUUAAUGUAUGUUUCCGUGUCAUGCGUUUAAUACGGGAUGCAAGGUCUCUUGAGGUUUUUUCCCUUGUUCUAAGUGACCCUAUCAAACGUGUUUAAUCAACCAACCAACAAACCAACCAAUCAAUCAACCAACUAAUCAAUCAAUCAAUAUGUAUGACUGUUUAUUUAUGACAGUAUAUUGAAGGAACAAACUCUCAAUUAUUCAAGAAAAUUUUUAUUUUAUUAUUGUUCUUACGUCUCUUCUGAAAAAAAAUCCACAUAUUCUCUGAAACUACAAGUCCAAUCGACCUGAAAAUUUGCAGUCAGCAGGGCA